RNAcentral lists this unclassified non-coding RNA (352 nucleotides) under soil metagenome. RNAcentral's name for it is "partial contains 5.8S ribosomal RNA, internal transcribed spacer 2, and large subunit ribosomal RNA". The stretch from base 1 to 120 matches the Rfam family "5.8S ribosomal RNA", at positions 35 to 154 of the family's 154-position model. The record is from RNAcentral.
GAUGAAGAACGCAGCGAAAUGCGAUAAGUAAUGUGAAUUGCAGAUUUCAGUGAAUCAUCGAAUCUUUGAACGCACAUUGCGCCCGCCAGUAUUCUGGCGGGCAUGCCUGUUCGAGCGUCAUUACAACCCUCAGGCCCCCGGGCCUGGCGUUGGGGAUCGGCGGAGCCCCCCGUGGGCACACGCCGUCCCCCAAAUACAGUGGCGGUCCCGCCGCAGCUUCCAUCGCGUAGUAGCUAACACCUCGCGACUGGAGAGCGGCGCGGCCACGCCGUAAAACACCCAACUCUUCUGAAGUUGACCUCGAAUCAGGUAGGAAUACCCGCUGAACUUAAGCAUAUCAAUAAGCGGAGGA